Molecule: long non-coding RNA, 600 nt
Organism: Larimichthys crocea (large yellow croaker)
Lineage: Eukaryota; Metazoa; Chordata; Actinopteri; Sciaenidae
Exons: 3
Source: RefSeq, a predicted model, not a curated record
GGAGAUGAGUCCAUCAAAAGGCCUCAGAGCAAGAGUCACUUUGUGUAUUUAUGACUUUUUCUUCUUAUUCUCACAAUUCAUGUGCCAUUCAUAAAUGUUCCAUAAGUGUUAAGUUUUGAUCUCAGUCAGUUAGGAGUGACCAACAGAAGCAACGGUUACACAUUUUCCAUGUUUUGGAUAUGCAGGACGAUAAAUUGAUUAAAGCUUUCUGGGAACUGGGAACCUUUCGGAUGGAUGGAUGAAAUCUGGCAUAAACAUUCAUGUUCCCCAAACAGUGAAUUAUGAACCUUUGGUGAUUCCUGACUUGUCCUCCAGUGCCAUAAUCAGCAGCGCCUGUCUGUGAAACAGAGAGCCCCCCUCUACCCUCUGUGGACGUCAACUGCAGUCACGUGACGCACAUAAAAAAGCUGCCUCACACAAGAGCCUUAUUAGGAAGCUUCCCAGCUCGAUAACAAGGAGGUCAAAACCUUUCCUUAAUUACAUCUGGACUUGAAAUCUCGGAAAGAUACAUUUUGCUUUCUCUUUGUAAAGUUAAACGGGCAGUGUGAUGAUUAUGUGCACAGUGUAUUAUGUACAAUUAUAAAUAAAAAGAAGUAUGAG